GUACAAGCUGUGUAGCAUAAAAGGGGCUGACACAGAGAAAUCAGGGUUCAUUUUUCCUCUUUCUAAUUUUCCCUUUUCGGAUGAGCCUCAGCUGCACACAGGGAAAUUCACUGACUGAAGAUAUCUUUACCAGCUGGUGCUGCAGACGACCACCUUGUACCCAAACCAGCAACCAACUCACAAGUCAAAGGAAUCAUGAGGGUUCAGAGUGCCUGUUUGCUGCUGCUGCUGCUCUGUGCUGCUGUGCUCUCGCAAACUUACGAUGAUUUCAAAAGGAAACACAUCCUUAAAUCAUGUGACGACAUGAUGAAAACUGUCAAUGACGACAGUCAAUGCAAGCCAGUAAACACAUUUAUCAUAGCGAAUGAAGAAGAAGUUAAGGCUUUGUGUAAAGGUAAAGACAAUCGAACCAUCACGUACAAAUUUGAUGUUAUUGACUGUAAGAGGAAAAAGAAAAAGCCUUGUGAAUACAAGGCUCGACCACUCGAAGGAGAGGAGAAGAAGAUAAAAUGUGAAAAUUCUGAACCUGUACAUCUUGAGAGAGGCAUAUAUGACGAUUUUGAUUAUGACAUUGAAAAUUAAAGAUUGUUGAGUUGUUUUUUCAGUUUUCUUUGCUGUACGAUCUUUACCUUCCAGUAUAAAGCAUCUUGACGUGACUGUUGUUGUGAUCUGGCGCUGUAUAAAAAAAACUGAACUGAACUAACAAAGACUCAGAAAAAUUUUAGCUAUGCCACAAACCCUUUAAUGUUGCCUUUGCUAAGUUUUGAUUAUUUGUUUUCGAUUGUUUCAUUGUUUAUUCAUGCUUUCUUUUUUACUUCUUUGUGUAACGUUUAUGGGUCAAAAUGUUAAAAAUGUAUUUGCAAGUGAUGACAUUUGCAAAUUAGUAUUUUUCAAUUUUAUCUGCAUAUUUCUGAAAAAUAAACCACAUUCACAUUUUGCUUUAAAGCACAAAAUAAGCAUUUCUGAGUACUUCUCUGAGGACCAUCUCCGGACAUUGGUUCUCUCUAUGCAUAUCUGGUCUGCAGCUAAUUGAAAGGCUUGUAUGAAGUUGUUUUUUGAUCAUUCGAAAUCUGCAUGUGUGAUAAAUAAAGAGGCAG
Long non-coding RNA from Oreochromis aureus, 1097 nucleotides. RefSeq lists it as uncharacterized. The transcript has 3 exons. NCBI's taxonomy places the organism in Eukaryota, Metazoa, Chordata, Actinopteri, Cichliformes, Cichlidae. The record is from RefSeq and is a predicted model, not a curated record.